AAUGCCUAACGCCAGGAGGGAGAGACAAAGGGGCCUCUUCUUUAACACUGAGAAUAGCCCCAGAGUGAAUACAGCCUUCGACAGCUGUGGUUUCAUUCUCAUCACCGCUGGGCAAGUUGGGGGUGCUAAUUGUGAAGCUGGAGAGCUGUUAAAAUCAGACCAGAUUUGUUAAAGGAGAGGAGUAAGAUGAUACUUAAGACCAGUAUCUGCAGUGGCACAGGCAUAAAAGCCCUAUCUCAGGAGAAGGAGUGAAAGGAAGGCAAAAAGGCCGUGAGAAAAUGAAAGAAGCUGGUUGAUUGACCCCUCCUCUGUGUCACCUCAGCAACUUGUCCAUAUCAUUGUUACAGCACUUACCACACAGUUGUAAGAUGGUACUGCAAGCUUACUUUCCAACGUGGCUGCAUCGUUUCACAUUCCCACCAGCAGUAUGAGGUUUCCAAUUUCUCUGCAUCCUCAUCAACACUUGUUAUUAUCUGUCUUUUUUAUUUUAGA
This 492-nucleotide long non-coding RNA is filed under the name Pan troglodytes (chimpanzee). RNAcentral's name for it is "lincRNA". The record is from RNAcentral. Lineage: Eukaryota; Metazoa; Chordata; Mammalia; Primates; Hominidae.